RNAcentral lists this ribosomal RNA (497 nucleotides) under uncultured bacterium. RNAcentral describes it as "partial 16S ribosomal RNA". It matches the Rfam family "Bacterial small subunit ribosomal RNA", at positions 28 to 507 of the family's 1533-position model. The record is from RNAcentral.
GAUGAACGCUGGCGGCGUGCCUAAUACAUGCAAGUCGAGCGAACGGACGAGAAGCUUGCUUCUCUGAUGUUAGCGGCGGACGGGUGAGUAACACGUGGAUAACCUACCUAUAAGACUGGGAUAACUUCGGGAAACCGGAGCUAAUACCGGAUAAUAUUUUGAACCGCAUGGUUCAAAAGUGAAAGACGGUCUUGCUGUCACUUAUAGAUGGAUCCGCGCUGCAUUAGCUAGUUGGUAGGGUAACGGCUUACCAAGGCAACGAUGCAUAGCCGACCUGAGAGGGUGAUCGGCCACACUGGAACUGAGACACGGUCCAGACUCCUACGGGAGGCAGCAGUAGGGAAUCUUCCGCAAUGGGCGAAAGCCUGACGGAGCAACGCCGCGUGAGUGAUGAAGGUCUUCGGAUCGUAAAACUCUGUUAUUAGGGAAGAACAUAUGUGUAAGUAACUGUGCACAUCUUGACGGUACCUAAUCAGAAAGCCACGGCUAACUACGUG